AGAAAUUGAAAGUUAAACAGAUUGAAAAAUAGCAAGUCAGGAGCCCGCCUGUAGAACAGGGUGAAGAAGUUGAAAGCAUGACAACAAGUUGAUGAAAUAGCAAGUCAGGAACCCGCCUAGAGAAUAGGGUGAAAAAAAUGUAAAGUCAAGCAACAAAGUGAAGAAGUUGAAAGUCAAGCAACAAGGUGAAGAAGUUGAAAACAAAGCAACAAUGUGAAAAUUUGAAAGUUAGCAGAUUGAAAAAUAUCAAGUCAGGAGCCCGCUUGAAGAAUAGGGUGAGGAAAUUGAAAGUUAAGCAACGAGGUGAAACAAUUGAAAGCCAAACAAUAAGUUGAUGAAAUUGAAAGUCAGGAGCCCGCCUGAAGAAUAGGGUAAUGAAACUCAAGUCAAAAGUCCAGAAGAAG
RNAcentral lists this long non-coding RNA (404 nucleotides) under Capsicum annuum. Its description in RNAcentral is "long non-coding RNA (CANN_LNC009626)". The record is from RNAcentral. Lineage: Eukaryota; Viridiplantae; Streptophyta; Magnoliopsida; Solanales; Solanaceae.